Molecule: transfer-messenger RNA, 390 nt
Filed under: bovine gut metagenome
Rfam family: transfer-messenger RNA
About the family: Bacterial tmRNA, also known as 10Sa RNA or SsrA, is named for its dual tRNA and mRNA-like properties. Its role is to liberate the mRNA from a stalled ribosome.
Source: RNAcentral
GACUGGAUUUGACAGCGGGCAGAUAGGAUAUGUAAGCAUGCAGUGCAUUGAUUGUUGGCACUUUAAUCAUAAUGGUCAAAAAAUUAUCUGGCGAAAAUAAUUACGCUCUCGCUGCUUAAUUGAAGUAUAGUAGAUUCGGCUUUAUCCCGAUGCAAGGCGUUGGGACGAGACAUCACCCAGAAGCUGUUGUUCCGAAGCGUACUGAUAAGGUGGUGCAGCAAAUCGGAAAUAGUCAGAGAUGGCCUCGCAUCGAUGAUGAAACUCUUAGAGGAUAGGUCAUGGUUUAGUUGCUCUUUCCUGUACUGUGGCUGAAUUCUUGGAAGAGAUAAGCAUGUAGAAAACAUCUUCUUUCCUCGUUUGGACGAGGGUUCGAUUCCCUCCUGGUCCACU